Long non-coding RNA from Hemicordylus capensis (graceful crag lizard), 330 nucleotides. RefSeq lists it as uncharacterized. The record is from RefSeq and is a predicted model, not a curated record. The transcript has 2 exons. NCBI's taxonomy places the organism in Eukaryota, Metazoa, Chordata, Lepidosauria, Squamata, Cordylidae.
GGAAGACUGCUACCCUCCAAAACCUCUGAUGGAAGAGCAUUACUGAUGGAAGAGCAUUAAAAUGUGCCUACAACCAUUCUCCUAUACUUAGGCACCAUUAGCAUGCCAAGGAUAGAUCACCCAAAGAGAAAGUGAGCCCUGAAGCAAAACCAAGAUCAAGGGAAAACACUGUGGAAAAAACCUAUUGCAACUCUACCAAAAGGCAAACACACUCAGGAAACCAAACAUUAAUGGCUUCAAAGCAAACCUUUUUCUAAAGGUAACUGGUGACAUCAUAUUUGUGUUAUUUGAUGAAGAAAUUGCCUUAAAAAAAAAGACAUAUAUGUCAGA